Long non-coding RNA from Mya arenaria, 488 nucleotides. RefSeq lists it as uncharacterized. The transcript has 3 exons. The record is from RefSeq and is a predicted model, not a curated record. NCBI's taxonomy places the organism in Eukaryota, Metazoa, Mollusca, Bivalvia, Myida, Myidae.
GAAGCAGACCCAGGAGGAACUGUUGAAGAACCAGCCAGACAGCCCCCCCCCCUCAAGCUGCCCACCAGGCUGAGCUGUACUUGGUGUUUGCCAACAUGCUGUAAUUUCCAGCCUGGUUGCUGUAGCCACAGAGGAAUUUUCAAGGACAAGAACCAGUGCUGGUAAAACUGUGGUCUCGUGUGGUUUUCCAUACCGGCUCUCGGCAAGGAUUUUCAAGAAAGGAAUAUCAUCUCCAUAUCAUGAUGUGCCAAUAAGCUCCAGUUAGCUGUGGCCUUUUCCCCAGGCGGUAGUCCUGCAAUCUGAAUCCAGGAGAUGCAGCUCUGAAUCCAAUAUUUCAGAAGAAUGAAGAUGUUAGUCAACUCUGUAGUACUUGUUUGUGUGUAAAUGAUUCCAAUGAGUGAGAUUUAUAGCAAAUCAGGUGUAAAUAAGCAUCUUAUAGACAAUGGUGAAGUGCUGUACUCUGAAUUUAAUGCCAAAUCUAGCCUUCA